GCGGCAGACGGGUGAGUAACGCGUGGGAACGUACCUUUUGCUACGGAAUAACUCAGGGAAACUUGUGCUAAUACCGUAUGUGCCCUUCGGGGGAAAGAUUUAUCGGCAAAGGAUCGGCCCGCGUUGGAUUAGCUAGUUGGUGAGGUAAAGGCUCACCAAGGCGACGAUCCAUAGCUGGUCUGAGAGGAUGAUCAGCCACACUGGGACUGAGACACGGCCCAGACUCCUACGGGAGGCAGCAGUGGGGAAUAUUGCACAAUGGGCGCAAGCCUGAUGCAGCGACGCCGCGUGAGGGAUGACGGCCUUCGGGUUGUAAACCUCUUUCGCCAGGGACGAAGCGCGAGUGACGGUACCUGGAUAAGAAGCACCGGCUAACUACGUGCCAGCAGCCGCGGUAAUACGUAGGGUGCAAGCGUUAUCCGGAAUUAUUGGGCGUAAAGAGCUCGUAGGCGGUUUGUCGCGUCUGCUGUGAAAUCUGGGGGCUCAACCCCCAG
RNAcentral lists this ribosomal RNA (494 nucleotides) under uncultured Hyphomicrobiales bacterium. RNAcentral's name for it is "bacterial SSU rRNA". It matches the Rfam family "Bacterial small subunit ribosomal RNA", at positions 95 to 619 of the family's 1533-position model. Lineage: Bacteria; Pseudomonadati; Pseudomonadota; Alphaproteobacteria; Hyphomicrobiales. The record is from RNAcentral.